GGGCUCGCUUCGGCAGCAUGUAAACUAAAACUGAAACAAAUCAGAGAAGAUUAGCAUGGCCCCUGCGAAAGGAUGACAUGCAAAUUCGUGAAGCGUUAUACAUUUAA
Molecule: small nuclear RNA, 107 nt
Organism: Mus pahari (shrew mouse)
Lineage: Eukaryota; Metazoa; Chordata; Mammalia; Rodentia; Muridae
Source: RefSeq, a predicted model, not a curated record